UUUAAUAUGAUGUUAACAUGUCACUGAAAAGUUGAUUCAAUCUAUACUGGAGCGAAUCGAAACUUUAUUUAAAGGAUGUUCGCUUAAGCGAGGCAUUUGCCUGAUUUUAGC
Molecule: non-coding RNA, 111 nt
Organism: Glossina austeni
Lineage: Eukaryota; Metazoa; Arthropoda; Insecta; Diptera; Glossinidae
Source: Rfam